AACGAACGCUGGCGGCGUGCCUAACACAUGCAAGUCGUGCGAGAAAGUUCCUUCGGGAGCGAGUAAAGCGGCGCACGGGUGAGUAACACGUAGGUAACCUGCCCCCCAGUCUGGAACAACUAGAGGAAACUCUAGCUAAUGCCGGAUGAGACCACGAUCCCUUCGGGGGUUGCGGCCAAAGAUGGCCUCUACUUGUAAGCUAUCGCUGAGGGAUGGGCCUGCGGGCCAUUAGCUUGUGGUGAGGUAACGGCUCACCAAGGCUGUGAUGGCUAGCUGGUCUG
This 281-nucleotide ribosomal RNA is filed under the name uncultured bacterium. RNAcentral describes it as "partial 16S ribosomal RNA". It matches the Rfam family "Bacterial small subunit ribosomal RNA", at positions 29 to 294 of the family's 1533-position model. The record is from RNAcentral.